GGAAAGAUGAAAAGAACUUUGAAAAGAGAGUUAAACAGUACGUGAAAUUGUUGAAAGGGAAACGAUUGAAGUCAGUCGUGCUGGCGCGAAAUCAACCCUCUCGUCUUGAGAUCACAUGGCGCGGCGAGCCUCAAAACCGUCACGAAGCGUGAACUCUUGACGAAAAGGAGCACUUUCGUGUCCGCUGGCUUAACAUCAAUUUCGAUCGUCAUAAAAAGGCUGGAGGGAUGUGGCUCCUUCGGGAGUGUUAUAACCUUUAGCGGAAUGUGGUGGUCGGGAUUGAGGAUUGCAACGAAUACCUUUAGGGCUGUUCCACCUGGUUUCUCAUUGGUAUCCUGGUGACGACAGCUUGCUGACUUUGUUAGGAUUCGCCUCUGAACAGGCUAGAGUGUGAGCAAAUUCGUUAAGGAUGUUAACGUAAUGGCUUUAAACGACCCGUCUUGAAACACGGACCA
RNAcentral lists this ribosomal RNA (455 nucleotides) under Entrophospora etunicata. RNAcentral describes it as "LSU rRNA". It matches the Rfam family "Eukaryotic large subunit ribosomal RNA", at positions 358 to 668 of the family's 3401-position model. Lineage: Eukaryota; Fungi; Glomeromycota; Glomeromycetes; Entrophosporales; Entrophosporaceae. The record is from RNAcentral.